AAAUUGAAGAGUUUGAUCGUGGCUCAGAUUGAACGCUGGCGGCAGGCCUAACACAUGCAAGUCGAACGGUAACAGGAAGCAGCUUGCUGCUUCGCUGACGAGUGGCGGACGGGUGAGUAAUGUCUGGGAAACUGCCUG
RNAcentral lists this ribosomal RNA (138 nucleotides) under Escherichia coli. Its description in RNAcentral is "partial 16S ribosomal RNA". It matches the Rfam family "Bacterial small subunit ribosomal RNA", at positions 1 to 132 of the family's 1533-position model. Lineage: Bacteria; Pseudomonadati; Pseudomonadota; Gammaproteobacteria; Enterobacterales; Enterobacteriaceae. The record is from RNAcentral.